RNAcentral lists this unclassified non-coding RNA (306 nucleotides) under fungal sp. RNAcentral describes it as "partial internal transcribed spacer region". The stretch from base 1 to 46 matches the Rfam family "Eukaryotic small subunit ribosomal RNA", at positions 1786 to 1831 of the family's 1831-position model. Lineage: Eukaryota; Fungi. The record is from RNAcentral.
AAGUCGUAACAAGGUUUCCGUAGGUGAACCUGCGGAAGGAUCAUUAACACGUAUCCAAACGUUAAACCCCCCUGUGAACCUUCAGUGUACUCGUACGUCCGUUAGAAAAAGCAGUCCCUGAAAUCAUCGCCGAACAGUUUUCGAUUCAGGGACGUCUGCAAGCAAGUGGCCUGGCAUCCCCAAGCAGUUAGUGUCUGAAAGUGUCAACGAUAAGCCCCCCUAUAACAAACGCUGCCAAUCGUGGCCGCGAUAAUACGCUGUCGACAAAAAACCGAACAACUGUUAACAAUGGAUAUCUUGGUUCUC